Salmo salar (Atlantic salmon) is the source of this 54-nucleotide non-coding RNA. The record is from Rfam. NCBI's taxonomy places the organism in Eukaryota, Metazoa, Chordata, Actinopteri, Salmoniformes, Salmonidae.
UGCAUUCACUACUGUAAGUCGCUCUGAAUAAGAGCGUCAGCUAAAUGACUAAAA